Molecule: non-coding RNA, 71 nt
Organism: Dipodomys ordii (Ord's kangaroo rat)
Lineage: Eukaryota; Metazoa; Chordata; Mammalia; Rodentia; Heteromyidae
Source: Rfam
GGGAACGUGGCUCAGUGGAUAGAGUGCUUGCCUUGCAUGCAUGAGGCCCUGGGUUCGAUUCCUCAGCACCA